UUUAAACGUCAAACUUCUAUGAAAUUAUGACGUAUACAUAACACUUACACUGUGUGGGCUAUCAAAUCCGCUGCAGACUUUGUUUGGUGCGACUAUAUACUCGUUCUUCUCUAUAUUGGCCUUACCUAUAAAAAUAAUAAGUACAUAAUAAUUAAAGUCAUUAACGGGUCUAACGCGAUUAAAUCACCAAUAUCAGGGAGACCGCGCAUUGCUCGGAAAACAUAUAUAAAAACCCAAAAAUGUGCGUGUUCCCAGUGAUAAGAGCUCGUUAGAUCGAUUUAUCGCCCCCGAAAACGCCCUUAACAAAUUUCAUCGAAACCGUUAGAGCUGUUUCCGAGAUCCCCGAAAUAUAAGCCGAUUAGCGUAAGAAUAAUUUAUACUGUAAUGUAUCAUUAUCAGAAUAAAUAAACUAAAUUAAACAAUAUAUUGACCACAGCUAGUGCAACCUAGCUGAAAGAAAAAAUGUAAAAUAAUGAAGUUUAAUCGCGUUAUACCAGUUAAUGACAUUAAUUAUGUUUGAGUUUGGAAAAUGGGAGAGUAUAAAGUGUUAUAUUAAGUACAGUAAAGCCUGCUGGUUCCCUACGUUAAUUGGUUUUUCCGACUGUUGUAAUAAACUCGCAGGCAGGGUUUGAAAUAAUUAAUUACCUAAUACAUUAUGAUACAUGCGAAAUGUUGUGUGAUCUAAAUAAUAUUUGAGAUUAUUAUUACAUGUAAUUAUUUGCAGAUUAAAGUAAUUAUUUAUAUUAAUUUAAAAUGUUUUCAAAUGGGUAUCCUCGCGGGAUACCAAUCUGUGGCAGCUUUAAUAGUUUUAAGAAAUAUAAAUUAUUAUAUUACAUUAUUAAAUAUUGUAACGAAUUAUAUGUGCAUUUUAAACUGUA
This is a long non-coding RNA of Cydia fagiglandana, 878 nucleotides long. RefSeq lists it as uncharacterized. The transcript has 2 exons. Lineage: Eukaryota; Metazoa; Arthropoda; Insecta; Lepidoptera; Tortricidae. The record is from RefSeq and is a predicted model, not a curated record.